ACUGAGCUUGUCAACAGCCAGUCAAGAAUGGAGAAGGAGUUUAUGAUGCUGAAGCCUGGCCCACUGUGGCAAUCUUUUCCUGCUGCUUGACAAUCUGGAUAUAGAAAUCUCAGCUUCCUGCCAUUAUCACAAUGGACAAAACCUCUGAGUAUCUGCAGGGAGCUCCAGCUGGAAUCCUCACCAUCAAGGAAUUCCCUCUUGCAGCACACACUGUUAUGGAGAGGUGAGCCAGGGGAAGCAGGGUACC
Molecule: long non-coding RNA, 247 nt
Organism: Mesocricetus auratus (golden hamster)
Lineage: Eukaryota; Metazoa; Chordata; Mammalia; Rodentia; Cricetidae
Exons: 3
Source: RefSeq, a predicted model, not a curated record